Long non-coding RNA from Diabrotica virgifera virgifera (western corn rootworm), 1508 nucleotides. RefSeq lists it as uncharacterized. Lineage: Eukaryota; Metazoa; Arthropoda; Insecta; Coleoptera; Chrysomelidae. The record is from RefSeq and is a predicted model, not a curated record. The transcript is spliced from 2 exons.
AUUCUCGUCACGUUAUUUACGUCGCGUGAUUCACGUGACGUUAUGCACAUCACGUUCUGUUAGGCACUGUCACGUUCUGUUAGGCACUAUACGGAAAAGAAGAAGAAGAAUUGGCAAUUAAUAUUGAACGUUGACAGAAGAAGAAUUGACAGUUGCCAUCUGUGUCGCCACCGCUUUCAUUUGAUAUCCCAUACGUCAAAAUCGGAUCAUUAGCCAAGAAGAUAUGUUGUAAUGCCGUUUUGGCAAUGUCAAUUAGUUACGUGUUGCAGCCGACAGGUGGCAUGAUAAGAUGAAGAACUGUGAUAGGAUGUUUGAUGGUCGUACUGUAAGAAUGGUAUACGUUCUUCUAGAGGGCUUGGGCAUAGUUACAUGUUGCAGCCGACAGGUGGCAUGAUAAGAUGAAGAAUUGACCACAGCGUAAGAAUGGUAUAUGUUCUUAUAGAGGGUUUGGACAUAGUUACAUGUUGCAGCCGACAGGUGGCAGGAUAAGAUGAAGAACUGUGAUAGGAUGUUUGAUGGUUUGGUCAUACUGUAAGACUGGUAUACGUUCUUCUAGAUGGUUUGGGCAUAGUUACAUGUUGCAGCCGACAGGUGGCAUGAUAAGAUGAAGAACUGUGAUAGGACUAAUAUAUCACCGUUUUGGCAGUGUUGCCAUGUUUCUCCUUCCCUUCGAUGUCUGUUGCGCUAAAAUUAAUAGCAACGAAGAUAUAGUGUCGUUUUGGCAUUGCUGACAUCUUUGUUUUUAUGUUAACAUAUUCAAUAUCCCCUCUUUUUCCCAACGAGACCAUAUUCACACGAAUUGGACCAAUAGACACGAAGAUAUGAUAUAGUGCCGUUUUGUCAUUGCUGACAUCUUUGUUUAUAUGGUAACAUGCCUUCCUCUUUCCAACAAUAUAUGAUCAGUCAGGUCGGAGACAUGCUCUAAUGCUCUUUUGCUAAUGUCUUUGUGAUUGCUCCUCUUUCGUUUAAUGUCUUACAUGUAAUAAACGAACCAAUAACAACGCAGAUGGCAGAUAGGUGCUUCAUGGAUAAGUGUCUUAUUUGGCUUUCUGACUACACCCUGUAUAUUUUGCGAUAAACGAAAUAAAGAGGAGGCCAUCUUGGAAGGCGAGGGUUUGUGACGUAGGUGGGCCUGGCUGUGUUCCCAUUGGUCGUUGGGCGGGACUAAGUUCUCAUUGGUCGGUGAUUGGGGCUAAGUUCUCAUUGGUCGCUGGACUUUGAUCUCAUUGGUCCAUGGGCGAUGCUGUGGGUGGGCGAGGCUUCCUUCUCAUUGGUCGGUGGGCAAUCAUUGGCCGGUGGGCAACCAUUGGUCUGUGGGCGUGGCUUUGUGGUGGGCGUGGCUUUGUGGUGGGCGUGGCUUUGUGGUGGGCGUGGCUUGCGGUGGGCGUGGCUUUGUGGUGGGCGUGGCUUUGUGGUGGGCGUGGCGUGGGGCGUGGCAGAUAAAAUUUUUCCCACGCUGUCAAAAUUUUCCCAUGCCCAACCGACCCACACUCUGCUUGAGAGACAAA